This 255-nucleotide long non-coding RNA is filed under the name Sinocyclocheilus grahami. Its description in RNAcentral is "lncRNA (ENSSGRG00000038353.1)". The record is from RNAcentral. Lineage: Eukaryota; Metazoa; Chordata; Actinopteri; Cypriniformes; Cyprinidae.
GUUCCUCACACUGUUCACACUCACUCUGAAGGCUCAUGGCUUUCAGUAGUGCUGGUUUUCUCUGUUAUUGGUUUAUUUCUGUCUGGACUCGUAGGAUUCAUCUGUCUGUGCCGCUUCACCAGUUCUGCUGAUGUUCUCACAGAGCUGAACUACACCUCCUGCCAGCUGGAAACAACGGCUCUUUUAACCUCUUCUGUCUGCCCCUCAAAACAUGGAUGACUGUCAGGAUCAUGGACCUGUUUUGUUGUGUUUUGC